This is a non-coding RNA of Theobroma cacao (cacao), 2049 nucleotides long. Lineage: Eukaryota; Viridiplantae; Streptophyta; Magnoliopsida; Malvales; Malvaceae. The record is from RefSeq and is a predicted model, not a curated record.
UAGUCUACUUUUUUCUUGUAUUUUUUGUUACAUAUCUUUUUGUCAUCAAAUAUUGUCUACCAUUCAACAUUAAUAUUGUCUUUAGCGUAAAUUUGCAUUUUUGUUUCUCCAGAUUUUGUUCACAUUUGUUGUCAGCUAUGCUUUUCGGUUGCAGUUUAUUAUUUGUUUUUCCUGUUUUGGUGCUAUAUUGAAAAUUUUUUUAGGCUCACUAUUUAUUUGUAUUGCCAGCUUUUAUUCACAACAAUGAGAAGGUGUUCUUUCGGUUGCUUGGUUGUUAUUAGGAUUUGUAACCAGUUGAUGGGAGUCGUACAACUAGUCAACGUGUCAUUGUUGUGGUUUGGUUUCGUGUUCUGACUGUUCGGGGAUGUCAUUUCUAUGUUUAUCAGUGUUUUUUAAUCGAUUGAUAUAUGGGUUUUUUCCCUUUCUAGAAGUUUAUAUUGUUCUUUUUCAGAUUUUGGUUUUCUAUUUUUCCUUUUUUUGCUUCCCUUGGCUCUCUUUAUUGCAUUCACUUGCUUCUUUCUCAGGUUGAUGGAUCUCAGCCUUUCAGUUUUUUUUUUUUUUUGAUUUAAUAUGAUGGUUUUCCUUUUUUUUUUUUUUUUUGUUUGUUUACUCCUUAUUUGUGUAACCCAAAUUUGAGUUUUGUUGUUUCCCUGUUUUGGCAUUCGUUUCUUUUCUUAUUCACUUUAACUGGUUCAACUUUUCAACCCUGUAAAAUUCCAACAUUUAUCGUUGAUUCUUUUCAUUUUAGGGUAUUUUAAUGUUUAUGUUCUUUUUAAUUUUUUUAUUUAUUAUUAACUUCAAUAUAGGAUUUCCUUUGAAUUCAUUUUCCUAAUGUUCUUAUUUCUUUUAUUUCAUGAUGUCCUAAUUAUUUUGGAUUUUUUUUAUUGAUGUUUUUGCUAUUGAGCAUGUUUUAAGUUGGCUUUGUCAUUGCUUUUAGUUAAUAAGUGUUUGAUUCGUCUUUUUUUUUUUUUUCAUUAAUGAUGGGUUUUUUUUUCAUAUUUGUUCAUAGGUAUAUGUAAAAUUUAGCAGGUUAUUCUUCUCGGUUUUAGAUAGUCUUUUUACUUUGUUUGUACUUUUAUUUCUGUUUCUUUACAUAUUUGAGCUCGACAGUUUGUUUUAUUCAAUUUUAUUUUUAAAGGUGCUUUUUGCCAACGUUUUCAUGGGUUACUCUUAUUGAUUUGAUUUCCAUUUUUGUUUUGCAGGAAACUUGGAUAGAAAGGUUCAGUAUUUGUUGACUGCCUGAUCUUCUUACUAUUAUUUGACGUUUAUUGUCUAUUGAAUCUAUCACCUUUGUUUUAGGAUUACUUGAUGAUAGUUUUUGCCAUGCUGUUUUCCUAUUGAAAUUUGGUGGACUUAUGCAUUUUGUUGUUCUGUAGCCUUGGCUAAGCAUGUUCACUGUAUGUGUGUAUCUUUAUAAUUUAACAUGCUUCCUGAUUAGAUAAUGUUUAUGGUUUACAAAUUGUACAUACUGACUCUGUAAUUUUUGUUUUGUUAGUUCAUGGACUAUUAUAUAUGAUUUUCAGUAAGAAUACAUAUUGUUUUAUUGUUGUUUUAUUGAAUAUUGAGAACCUAUGUUUUAUUUAGAAUUUUUAUUUAAUGUUCAUAUUUUUAUCACUAUGUCAGUUUUGUUUGAUCAAGGCUCUGAUCAAACAGACAAGGGUGUUUACUGUGGGUUUAACCAACAAAGCAAUCCAAACAAGAAGUGAAAACUACAAAAUGUUUGAUUCCAAUCAACCCUAACUUCUUCAUUGGAAUGCUUCAACUUCUGCAACCACUUCACCAUCCUCAACACCAACACCAACACUGGAGGCACUAGAAGAACAAACCCUACCCUCACCAAUUAAAAACCAAGUGACUAGAGAGUUUUUUCUAGAUUCUACGCCACAGAAAGAACCCAUAAUCAGCAAAUCAGAGAAUUCCCAAGACCAACUUUUACUGGAGCUUACACUGCAGAAAAAACCCAUUGCCAACAAAGACAAACAAUCACCCACCAAAAAAUAUAAGAUCAGAUACAGUAUAGUUACCUUCAAAGCUAUUCACACACCCAAA